CGAAAGCUAGGGGAGCAAACAGGAUUAGAUACCCUGGUAGUCCUAGCCGUAAACGGUGCACACUUGCUGUAGGAGGAUUCGACCCCUUCUGUGGCGGAGCAAACGCGUUAAGUGUGCCGCCUGGGGAGUACGGUCGCAAGAUUAAAACUCAAAGAAAUUGACGGGGACCUGCACAAGCGGUGGAGUAUGUGGCUUAAUUCGAUGCAACGCGAAGAACCUUACCUGGCCUUGACAUGCAUCUCUAAGCGUGUGAAAGCACGUGACCCUUCGGGGAAUUUGCACAGGUGCUGCAUGGCUGUCGUCAGCUCGUGUCGUGAGAUGUUGGGUUAAGUCCCGCAACGAGCGCAACCCUUGUGUCCUGUUGCCACUUCCGCUAGCGCGGAAAGCACUCUGGACAGACUGCCUCGUCUCAACGAGGAGGAAGGUGGGGAUGACGUCAAGUCAGUAUGGCCCUUACGGCCAGGGCUGCACACGUACUACAAUGCCUGGUACAAUGGGAAGCAAUACCGUGAGGUGGAGCAAAUCCUCAAAACCAGGCCCAGUUCAGAUUGUAGUCUGCAACUCGACUACAUGAAGUCGGAAUCGCUAGUAAUGGCGCAUCAGCUACGGCGCCGUGAAUACGUUCCCAGGCCUUGUACACACCGCCCGUCACAUCAUGAAAGCCGGUUGUACCCGAAGUCGCUGAGCUAACCCGCAAGGGAGGCAAGUGCCGAAGGUAUGGCUGGUAAUUGGGAUGAAGUCGUAACAAGGUAGCCGUAGGGGAACCUGCGGCUG
Molecule: ribosomal RNA, 774 nt
Filed under: marine metagenome
Description: bacterial SSU rRNA
Rfam family: Bacterial small subunit ribosomal RNA
Source: RNAcentral